AAGUCGUAACAAGGUUUCCGUAGGUGAACCUGCGGAAGGAUCAUUAUUGAAUAAACCUGGCAUUUGGUUCUGCAGCUGGCUCUUCUUGGGCAUGUGCUCGCCAUUGUCAUCUUUAUCUCUCCACCUUGUGCACCUCUUGUAGACCUGGACGGAUAAAACUUUUUACUUUCUUCUCAGAGGGCAACCUCUGGUCCUGAGGAUGUGCAUCUCCUUUGUUGGGGUGCUCUCCUUGUUUAAAAGAAAAAAAAGUUGUCCAGGCCUAUGUCUACACACACACCCAUUGAAUGUAACAGAAUGUAUCUAUGGGCCUUUGUGCCUAUAAAAACUUAUACAACUUUCAGCAACGGAUCUCUUGGCUCUC
This 361-nucleotide unclassified non-coding RNA is filed under the name fungal sp. RNAcentral's name for it is "partial internal transcribed spacer region". The stretch from base 1 to 46 matches the Rfam family "Eukaryotic small subunit ribosomal RNA", at positions 1786 to 1831 of the family's 1831-position model. The record is from RNAcentral. Lineage: Eukaryota; Fungi.